Molecule: ribosomal RNA, 468 nt
Filed under: uncultured bacterium
Lineage: Bacteria
Description: partial 16S ribosomal RNA
Rfam family: Bacterial small subunit ribosomal RNA
Source: RNAcentral
GACGAACGCUGGCGGCGUGCUUAACACAUGCGAGUCGAACGGAAAGGCCCUGCUUUUGUGGGGUGCUCGAGUGGCGAACGGGUGAGUAACACGUGAGUAACCUGCCCUUGACUUUGGGAUAACUUCAGGAAACUGGGGCUAAUACCGGAUAGGAGCUCCUGCUGCAUGGUGGGGGUUGGAAAGUUUCGGCGGUUGGGGAUGGACUCGCGGCUUAUCAGCUUGUUGGUGGGGUAGUGGCUUACCAAGGCUUUGACGGGUAGCCGGCCUGAGAGGGUGACCGGACACAUUGGGACUGAGGUACGGCCCAGACUCCUACGGGAGGCAGCAGUGGGGAAUAUUGCACGAUGGGCGGAAGCCUGAUGCAGGAACGCCGCGUGCGGGAUGACGGCCUUCGGGUUGUAAACCGCUUUCGCCUGUGACGAAGCGUGAGUGACGGUAAUGGGUAAAGAAGCACCGGCUAACUACGUG